GAGCAGGUAGUGCGUCCGUCUUUAUAGGGGCGUGGCCCUGUAUUCACAGCCGGCAAACGCUGCUACUUCCUCAGAACGCAUGAACCUGUAAUGGGGGAUGGACUGAGGGGGGCACGCAUAUAGGUUAGGGUACUCUCCUGAUCCUUCGGGGUUGGGGGGCGUACCGGACAGUCGGCAACUGUGCAUGGCCCUCCGGGGCCGGCCUUUUGCCCAGCAAUGGACCUGACGAUACUGAAAGCAUGUUUGGGGCUGGUAUCCUGGGACCUUCACGUGGUGGCCCUGUUUAAACCAAUCUUACCAGGAUGUGCUUCCAGAAGGGUUACAUCUAAAAACAAGGUACAAGCUACCACGGAUGAAAAGCUUACUGGAGAGAAGAGGGAAAGUAGCGAUGAACCAAUGACUUCAGGGGAAUCCGAUCGUCCAAUCCAAGUUUAACCCCCCCCCCUCCCCACUGGAGAUGAGAGGCUGUAGAGGAAUUUGUUGUGGUGACAAUGAAUCAUUCUAAUCAAAGUCAGUAUGGGCUCUGAGAAACACGCAGGAGACAAGAUCUGCCGCAGUCAUUGUUAGCAAGAACUACCAGUUUAAUAAGGUGGACCACACAGACAGUACGAUAGCCUUGCAGAGGAGAGCGUUUCUCAUGAGUGGAUUUACAACUGACUGACCAAUGAACCUUCAUUGGAACUUUUUGAAGUAGUGGUGGUGGGAAAGCUAGGUUUUCAGGGAGGUUGCUGACAGCCAGGUGAUGACCAGCAUCUUUCACCAGUAGUCUCCUGGUCUUCCACUGCAUCUCAAAUUUCUUGCCACCACAAACGGAUGUUUCAGUGAAGUAGUUUUGCUCCAACCUCUCUGCCAUCUGCCAUGCGAUGGGCGCUAGAGCACAUGCCGUUGAGGAAGUCGGUAGCUAGGGGUGGAGGAGCACAGUUAAGUUAACAAAGCUGAUGUUUGAUGGUAGCUACUAGAGAUCCUGGAUGCUGACUCUGCCUAGGACCUGAGUAACCUGAGUAAGUCAUCAAACGCCUGUUAUCAGAACCACAAGAAGAGGAACGCAUGUGUUUCAGGUUUUCCUGUUCUUACCAAGAAGACGUUGCUCUUGAUGCUGGAAUGCCCUGAAUCUGCACCACUUUGUGAUGACAUCAAACAUCAGACAAAAUACAUCCAAGGUGCCUUGGGCCUAUUUAGAAUGUACUAGGCUGUUAAAUGAGAAAAAAGGUUAUAUGGGCAAUUCCAUGCUGGUGGAGACACAAGACCAAACAAUUAUUUUACGGUUUGUUUAAGUCCGAUUUGCUGAAGGGACACAAUAUAUUUUGGCGUUUUGAAAACUGAAAUAGUUUUGUCCCAUGCGCGCACUGUUUGGUGAGUUACGGUACACCAUCACAUCAAAGUCUGCAAUGACGUCAUGAUGACUUAUGGAUGCACUGGUAAGGAAUUUUGAAUAAGUCUUUUGCUAUCUAUUCAGUAAUAUUUUCUCUCAAAUUCUUAUGUUACCAUUUUGAAGGCAUCUUUGUGAAAAUGGAUAUUAUUUUUAAGAUGUCAAUAUAAGUCAGAUUUUGUUUGUAUAAUAAAAUACAAAUUUAAUUAUUCAUAAGUCGCCAAAACAGAUUUUUUCUUUGUAAAUACCUACAUUUUCUGACUAAUGAAUAAUUUUGUUACAGAUUUCUUAGCUUGAGUCCUGACAAGUUUAUUUAAAAAAAUUAUUUUUUUUUCAUUUUAGUUUUAAUGCUUAGGCCAGCUGUGAAAUAUUGUAAUGUCAGCCACAUGUAAUGUCAUGCAGUCACAAUCUCUUAGCGUAACGUAGUGCCAGUCGCAUUAUUGCACAGUCCGUAGUUGAGGAAAAUACAAGUACACAUGUUAUUUAAGUCCAUACACAUACAAGUAGUAAACUCUUUGAACCAAAAUGCUACUGAGUGCCAAGCCACUGUCUGAGCAGCUGAUAUAUUUUUCACAAAAUCCUGUCUUUUUUUAAAAUUUAAAUUUGACAUCUGUAUUAACGCUUUGAUAAAAUGAAAAAUGUAUGUUUUGCUUUUGGGCAUUAGUAGUCUAUCAUUGUCUAUUCUGAUGGGGUGGGGUGGAGGAGUCUUCCCUGUGAGAACUGAAUUAUUGUUUGGCACCAAAUAGUUUGAUUUUCAUAAUUCCCUAUUUAUUACUAAACAUUGGCUAACUUAUUUCGUUUGUUUUGUUGUUGGUACAUUGGAUAACUUUGGUAUUGCUAGAAAAAUAGCAAUUAAAAUUGAGUUAAUGUAAAAACAUUUAUACAAAUGGAUAAUUCUGUUGAAUAUUUUAUAUUUUUCAGGAAAGAUGUACAGCCAAGUUGCAACUUACUGCAGCAGAGAGAAAGACACAGCAGAAACAAAACUUGGAGGAAAAGGAUUGUAUGAAGACCACAAGAGGAACAAAUGAAAGAGGAAUAGACAGAAAAGAACAGAACAUGAGAAGUUUCAUAAGUGAGCAGGAAUAAAACCAUGAGAAAAAAUUAAAGUAGUGAAAAUUGAGCAUGGAAUUUGUUAAACAUGUUGAGACCUCAACAUUUUUAGUAACACAGAAAAUAUGAUGCAAGUCUAUUUACACAGCUUUAAUUGGAGACAGCUGUAAUAUUAUUACGGUCGCUUUGCAAAAUUCCUUGCCUAAUUAGCUUUAUGAUAUGUUACUUAUUGGUGUUGAUGGUAUAUACAGGUAGGUUUUUAUUAUGUUUUUGUUUUUCAUAAAUUCUAAAACUCUCUUGAGUUUGGAUAUUGAAAAAAAUUUUGGUUCUUGCUUUCAGUCACUGUUGGAAAUUAUAAAGAAAAUAAAACUUGACCUGAACAGAAACUUUUCAAUACACAGUGUCUCAUUUCUCAAUUAUCAUGAUUAUAAAAACUUUAAUUUUACAUCUUUGUACAUGUAUAAAGUGUUAUACUGGCUAUAAAUUAUAUGAAAAAUAAAAUAUGACAUCCAUUGGCCUUUAACAUGAAGAAAAAUUUCAAAUUUGCUCUAUCAUUUGUUUCCUGUGUUGCUUUUCAUGUAAUGUCAGUCACAAUAAAGAAAGAGUUCUGUAAGCGAAGGACAGAAAAGAUCAAUGCGUCUACAGGUUGAAAAAUGUAAAAACACUUCAUCCCCCCAAAAAUGAUGCGUAUUGGAAUUAUAUGAUGCGGCUGAUUAGUGUA
This 3140-nucleotide long non-coding RNA is filed under the name Patiria miniata (bat star). Its description in RNAcentral is "uncharacterized LOC119733240, transcript variant X2". Lineage: Eukaryota; Metazoa; Echinodermata; Asteroidea; Valvatida; Asterinidae. The record is from RNAcentral.